UAGGGAAUCUUCGGCAAUGGACGAAAGUCUGACCGAGCAACGCCGCGUGAGUGAAGAAGGUUUUCGGAUCGUAAAACUCUGUUGUUAGAGAAGAACAAGGAUGAGAGUAGAAUGUUCAUCCCUUGACGGUAUCUAACCAGAAAGCCACGGCUAACUACGUGCCAGCAGCCGCGGUAAUACGUAGGUGGCAAGCGUUGUCCGGAUUUAUUGGGCGUAAAGCGAGCGCAGGCGGUUUCUUAAGUCUGAUGUGAAAGCCCCCGGCUCAACCGGGGAGGGUCAUUGGAAACUGGGAAACUUGAGUGCAGAAGAGGAGAGUGGAAUUCCAUGUGUAGCGGUGAAAUGCGUAGAUAUAUGGAGGAACACCAGUGGCGAAGGCGGCUCUCUGGUCUGUAACUGACGCUGAGGCGCGAAAGCGUGGGGAGCGAACAGG
RNAcentral lists this ribosomal RNA (430 nucleotides) under Fusobacteriota bacterium. RNAcentral's name for it is "Fusobacteria bacterium partial 16S ribosomal RNA". It matches the Rfam family "Bacterial small subunit ribosomal RNA", at positions 355 to 776 of the family's 1533-position model. The record is from RNAcentral. Lineage: Bacteria; Fusobacteriati; Fusobacteriota.